This 544-nucleotide ribosomal RNA is filed under the name uncultured Glomus. Its description in RNAcentral is "SSU rRNA". It matches the Rfam family "Eukaryotic small subunit ribosomal RNA", at positions 548 to 1098 of the family's 1831-position model. The record is from RNAcentral. Lineage: Eukaryota; Fungi; Glomeromycota; Glomeromycetes; Glomerales; Glomeraceae.
UUGGAGGGCAAGUCUGGUGCCAGCAGCCGCGGUAAUUCCAGCUCCAAUAGCGUAUAUUAAAGUUGUUGCAGUUAAAAAGCUCGUAGUUGAAUUUCGGGAUUAGUACGUUGGUCGUGCCUUCGGUACGUACUGGUGUUACUGAUUCCUACCUUCUGACGAACCAUCAUGUCAUUAAUUUGGUGUGGUGGGGAAUCAGGACUGUUACUUUGAAAAAAUUAGAGUGUUUAAAGCAGGCUCGCGCUUGAAUACAUUAGCAUGGAAUAAUGAAAUAGGACGUUGACCCUAUUUUGUUGGUUUCUAGGAUUGACGUAAUGAUUAAUAGGGAUAGUUGGGGGCAUUAGUAUUCAAUUGUCAGAGGUGAAAUUCUUGGAUUUAUUGAAGACUAACUACUGCGAAAGCAUUUGCCAAGGAUGUUUUCAUUAAUCAAGAACGAAAGUUAGGGGAUCGAAGACGAUCAGAUACCGUCGUAGUCUUAACCAUAAACUAUGCCGACUAGGGAUCGGACGAUGUUAUUUUUUGACUCGUUCGGCACCUUACGGGAAAC